CAGCUCUUUCCUAAAGGGGUGUGUGAGAAAGGGCUUGAGGGUACCCCACAGGGAGGAAUUCCCAAAGGGGUUUUUGCACUUGGUGGUGGUGGCAGCAUCUAUCCAUCCAAGGUCAGAGAGAGAAGCAGUAACCUUGGAAGUUUACUACAAGGCUGGAGUGGCCAGUAUUAAUUUUUAGAAUCCUUGCAGGCCCCCACCUUCUGCACUGGAAGUGCCAGAGUGGGGAAUCAGCCUUGACAGUUGCCCUUUUCCAAUAGAUCUUUUUUGAUUGGGAACCACAUGUGCAUAUGGUAUUCAAGGUGUGGGCAUGCCAUGGAUUUAUAUAGAGGCAAUAAGAUAUUUUCUGUUGUAUUCUCUAUCCCUUCUAGUGAUAGCCAGCAUUCUGUUUGCUUUUUUGACUGCUGCUGCGCAUUGAGUGGAUGUUUCCAGAAAAACAUCCACAAUGACUCCAAGAUCUUCCUUGAGCAGGAACAUCUAAUUCAGACCCCAUCAUUUCGUAGAUCCUGUUUUGAGAGCAGCCACCUGGCCCACCACCACAUCCAGGUGUCGAUCAAUGUCUGGUCAGAGUACACCAUCCUCUAUGGCUUCUCCUGGAAUGGCAGAAAGAGUCACCCAUACCAAGAAAUUUCACUGAGCUGGAGGAGCAGAUUUCAGCCCAGGACCAGAAGGAAUCAAGCACUGGAGGCUCUCAUACAAGAGGGCAAAACACUUCAACAGUUGCUCCAGGUGGGCUCACUGUAUGUGCCCCUUCAAGGAGCAUGACGGGUGCUGUCAACCGCUUUCAAUGCACAGCCAGAAAUGAGUCAUGACCCCCUCCUCCACCCUGUCAGACCAGGAGGCGGAUGGAAUGCUGAGGAGGAUGCCUUGGAAGGCAAGUAGCAUGUGUUUUUUGGUACCCAGUGGAGCCAGCUGAGGAAGACCACCCCACCCUCACCCCAAUGAACCUAGGGAGGACCCCCAAGUCAUGGCAGGAACCAGAGCCUAUGACUGAGAACAAAAGAAAACAGCCGUGGGACCUCGGGAGCAGAUCCUGUCCUGGAACUUGGUUGGCAAAGCUACUGAAAACCUGUGUUCAAUGAACUUGCUUUGUUCUUUCAUCACAAUUCAUCCAGUAUUGUGAAUCGGGCGGGGAACUCUAUUUAAGGUAUUGUAGCUCGAUGCCCUCGCAGAGGCAAUGGACCGAAUAUAUCUGGACAGUGCGGAACAGACAUUUCUGUGGGGAAAUCCAGGACCGGGAGUGCAUCAGGGUCACCGCGCACAUAGUAAUCGAUGCUGCCGGAAGCCAGAGCGUGGCUGGUGGUCGCUAAUGGGCCGCCGGGGUCAGAAUUGCCGGAUCGGGGCUGUGGCGAUACGCAGACGCUCAGGGUGUGACCUGUAAGCCAUGUGGCUGUUUGUGAGCGGCCCAGCUCGGGAGCCACAGCAGCAAGGCACCCCACGUUGCAGAGGAGGUCGUGACACGGCCGCUCACCGAUCCGGAUCGCACCCCAAAAUGUCUCAGACACCAGUUUCCGGAAAGCCGUCUCACGUGCCGUUGUAUUUCACGCUAGCAGCAUUUGUAAGAUGAUUUUACAAGUUAUAAAACUCUUCACAUGUCACUAAAAUCCAGCCCAUCGGUUUGUCCCAGUUCUUCAGCUUGUUGUAAACCUUUCAUUCUCCUUGUUUUGGAUACUAGCAUUCUAGGUACUGGCACCAGAAGGAACUUCUGUAACUUGUCCUGGGGCAAAAUACAAACAUAUUUGGAUUUUUUGACAAGUGACCUAUCUGCUUAUGUCACAAACCAGGCAGUACUAUCGCGGCAUGUUGCAGAAUAUGAGAACGUAGCUUACCUCGGUGCUCAGACCAUCCUGCUUUCUGCUUACAAUGCAGAGCCAUCCCAGGGCGGCCGCCGCAAUCCACCUCCUGAGACCAGGGGCUUAUUUGUCUGAUGGGUUAAUAAAGGGCUCGGUGACUAGUCACCAAUCGCCGGGUUGACUCAUUGCUGCCGCUUUGUUGCCUGUGACACAAGAGUAUUGUAAUGGUAACUGGCAAGGGGGUGCGGAGGCGGGGUUACAAAAAUCUCCUGAGUCUGCUAUGAACAUUCUGGUUCUUCCAAAGAAUUUCAGGUGAAAGCGGUGGACAUGCUACUCAUGAAUAUUGUUGUGAAAUGGUGCACAGAUACUAUAUAAGGAGUUAGGUAUAUAUCCUGAAAAUCUGUGUUUAAACUCUGCAAAGUGUAUCUCUCUGUUGGGAUGCAACUGUAGCAUUGUAAAAUAGCAGAAUGCAUGCCUGUUUACAUACAAAGAGAUGCGAAGUCAACAGAAAAGGAGCAUGCAGGCGAAAACAAGCCCUGGGGGAUUAUCCUGCCUCAGAGUAAAGAGACACCGCCUUCACCCUGCACCUGGGAAGCGAACGGACAGCGUGGGUCGCAGUUAGCCUCGGUUGAAAAAGCUGCAGAGGAUUUUGGGUGAGAGAAACGUCUUCAGCCACGAGGUUAACCUGCGAGUUUAAUUAAGUGUCUAGAAAGUGGUUGUUUAGGUCAUGACUUGUUUCCAAACAACUGGUUUCAGAGUAACAGCCGUGUUAGUCUGUAUUCGCA
Non-coding RNA from Caretta caretta (loggerhead turtle), 2575 nucleotides. The record is from RefSeq and is a predicted model, not a curated record. Lineage: Eukaryota; Metazoa; Chordata; Testudines; Cheloniidae.